CCUACGGGUGGCAGCCGUGUGGCAUAUUGGGCAAUGGGCGCAAGCCUGACCCCGCCAUGCCGCGUGAAGGAAGAAGGCUUUCGGGUUGUAAACUUCUUUGACAGGGGAAGUGCAGAAGACGGUACCCUGAAACCACGCCACGGAUCACUACGUGCCAGCAGCCGCGGUAAUACGUAGGUGGCAAGCGUUAUCCGGAUGGACUGGGUGUAAAGGGCGUGUAUCCGGGACGGCAAGUCAGAUGUGAAAUCCGGAGGCUCAACCUCCGAAUUGCAUUUGAAACUGUGUUUCUUGAGUACUGGAGAGGCAGACGGAAUUCCGUGUGUAGCGGUGAAAUGCGUAGAUAUAAGGAGGAACACCAGUGGCGAAGGCGGUCUGCUGGACAGCAACUGACGGUGAGGCGCGAAAGCGUGGGGAGCAAACAGGAUUAGAUACCCGAGUAGUC
Molecule: ribosomal RNA, 442 nt
Filed under: uncultured bacterium
Lineage: Bacteria
Description: partial 16S ribosomal RNA
Rfam family: Bacterial small subunit ribosomal RNA
Source: RNAcentral